GAGCGAACGCUGGCGGCAGGCUUAACACAUGCAAGUCGAGCGGGCGUAGCAAUACGUCAGCGGCAGACGGGUGAGUAACGCGUGGGAACGUACCUUUUGGUUCGGAACAACACAGGGAAACUUGUGCUAAUACCGGAUAAGCCCUUACGGGGAAAGAUUUAUCGCCGAAAGAUCGGCCCGCGUCUGAUUAGCUAGUUGGUGAGGUAACGGCUCACCAAGGCGACGAUCAGUAGCUGGUCUGAGAGGAUGAUCAGCCACAUUGGGACUGAGACACGGCCCAAACUCCUACGGGAGGCAGCAGUGGGGAAUAUUGGACAAUGGGCGCAAGCCUGAUCCAGCCAUGCCGNNUGAGUGAUGAAAGCCUAGGUUGUAAAGCUCUUUUGUGCGGAGAUAAUGACGGUA
Molecule: ribosomal RNA, 402 nt
Filed under: uncultured rape rhizosphere bacterium wr0051
Lineage: Bacteria
Description: bacterial SSU rRNA
Rfam family: Bacterial small subunit ribosomal RNA
Source: RNAcentral